This 266-nucleotide small nuclear RNA is filed under the name Microtus ochrogaster (prairie vole). Its description in RNAcentral is "7SK RNA (ENSMOCG00000007805.1)". It matches the Rfam family "7SK RNA". From Rfam's summary of the family: 7SK was discovered as an abundant small nuclear RNA in the mid-70s but a possible function has only recently been suggested. Two independent studies have found that 7SK RNA binds the CDK9/cyclin T complex (known as elongation factor P-TEFb). Lineage: Eukaryota; Metazoa; Chordata; Mammalia; Rodentia; Cricetidae. The record is from RNAcentral.
GCAAGUGACAAAGACCCGAUGAGACAUCUGUCACCCAUGGAUCAGGAGGGAUGAAUUGACUGAUCUGGCUGGUUAGGCUGGUGUCCCCCUCCCUCACUGCUCCAUGUACAUCACCCUCAGAAGCUGCACUUCUCCAAAUAGAGGAGGACCCGUCUCCAGUCAAGUGUAUACACAUAGCUGUGUUCUCCUGCUAGGACCACCAAACAAGCUCUCCAAUAAAGAAGACCAAAUGGCCAGGGUGUGGAAAAUGUUCACCAGCUGGAGCC